RNAcentral lists this transfer RNA (72 nucleotides) under Saccoglossus kowalevskii. Its description in RNAcentral is "tRNA-Trp". It matches the Rfam family "tRNA". Rfam says of the family: Transfer RNA (tRNA) molecules are approximately 80 nucleotides in length. Their secondary structure includes four short double-helical elements and three loops (D, anti-codon, and T loops). The record is from RNAcentral. Lineage: Eukaryota; Metazoa; Hemichordata; Enteropneusta; Harrimaniidae.
GACUCUGUGGCGCAAUGGUAGCACGUCUGACUCCAGAUCAGAAGGUUUCGUGUUCGAAUCACGUCAGGGUCA